UUUAAAUCCAACAUGGCGGCUUCGCCGAAGCGGCCCCUUCCCAGCAUGCCCUGAGGCACCGCGGUGGCGGGGCGCGUUCCACUGCCUGGCCUGUGGGGGAAGGGACUGGGACGCUCCUAGCAGCUCCUUAGGGGGCAGCAGCCGCUCCGCAGGGGGAAAGGGCUCUUUAACAUAGCUGAAGAUGGCAGAAUGGGAUCCAACAGCUGGAAGAUGAAACACUUAGAAGUCAAGACUUAGAUGUGAAGGUUGUGCAUGUUAAGCAGCAAAGGUGAGGAAAUGUUAGAACGUGGUGAUGCUGAAGGAUCCUACAUCUUGUGGAGCCUCUAGAAAGAUAUCCUGUCUUGGUUUCAACUCACACUCCAGCUCAAGCAAGUGAUGGAUUUCCUGAUUCUCCAGCCUAUAUGUGAAAGAUUAGAAGAGGCAGUCAUGAUGACACUCUGCCACUGGCUUCAGAAUGCUCACAAAAGGCUCAUCAACCUGAGGACCUGCCUCCCAGCCUCUCCCUUGCUUUUUCCAGGAAUAGGACCACACCCUACCUACCUAUUCCAGGUCUAUGAUGAACUCAGAGAAAGAAGCCACUUGUAGCUGAUCCAGUACAGUCCUGGGGAGAGCUGCAAGAGCAGUCCUAAUGUGCGUUACUGUCCUUGUCCUUAAUCUCGAAAUUCUGCCCACCCCAGUUGCACCACAUACUAAAAAAAAUCCAGUUUAAUUCUCUCAAACAGCCAAUCUAUCCUCCCAGCCACACCCUGCAUUACAGCAGCCUGCUCACUUCCCUCGGCUGACCACACAGCGCUAAAGGAACCUCACCCCACUUCACUGGCUAUGGCCAAUGCAAAGGAGCUCAGCUCCCGUCACCAACUACACUUGGUGUGGGCCUGACCCUAACUGCUUCUACUCUUCUUCUUCAGCAAUCCCUCGCAACUGAGGAUGAUUGUCUUCCGUGAUUGUUUUACCUGUGUGCCUGAAGAUGGCUGAUGAGGCUUAUCCAGAAUCAGACUCUACUGUCUCUUGCACACGCAUUUCCAUGUGGGGUGGGUGGCACUGGAUUCUUAAUCCCUUCUUCCUCCAUAUGCAGUAGUCCUGGGCGAUUGUCAACUUGAGGGAGACUUCGAUAUUGCAUUUUCUUAAGUUGGCUUUGAGGAAGUCCCUGAAGUGCUUUUUCUGCUCUCCUCUUGAGUGUACACCUUGGCUGAGCUGGGAGAAUAAAACUUGCUUCAGGA
Molecule: long non-coding RNA, 1220 nt
Organism: Alligator mississippiensis (American alligator)
Lineage: Eukaryota; Metazoa; Chordata; Crocodylia; Alligatoridae
Exons: 2
Source: RefSeq, a predicted model, not a curated record